Molecule: ribosomal RNA, 431 nt
Filed under: uncultured bacterium
Lineage: Bacteria
Description: bacterial SSU rRNA
Rfam family: Bacterial small subunit ribosomal RNA
Source: RNAcentral
AACGCGAAGAACCUUACCAAGGCUUAAAUGUAGGACGACCGGGAUGGAAACAUCCCUUUCUUCGGACGACCUACAAGGUGCUGCAUGGUUGUCGUCAGCUCGUGCUGUGAAGUGUCGGGUUAAGUCCCAUAACGAGCGCAACCCCUAUCUCUAGUUGCCAGCGGUUCGGCCGGGGACUCUAGAGAAACUGCCGGCGUAAGCCGAGAGGAAGGUGGGGAUGACGUCAAAUCAUCACGGCCCUUACGUCUUGGGCUACACACGUGCUACAAUGGUAGGGACAGAGAGUUGCGAACCGGCGACGGUAAGCUAAUCUUCAAACCCUAUCUCAGUUCGGAUCGGAGUCUGCAACUCGACUCCGUGAAGUUGGAAUCGCUAGUAAUCGCAUAUCAGCCAUGAUGCGGUGAAUACGUUCCCGGGUCUUGUACACACCG